CGCAUCUGUGCAUGCAGCAUAUCAAUAAGCGGAGGAAAAGAAACUAACAAGGAUUCCCUCAGUAACGGCGAGUGAAGCGGGAAGAGCUCAAAUUUGAAAUCUUGAAAGGUCACCUUUCACGAAUUGUAGUUUAAAGAAGUGUUUUCUGUUACGAUCGUAAUAUAAGUUCUUUGGAAUAGGACAUCACAGAGGGUGAGAAUCCCGUCUAUGAUUGCGAUUUGUAGCUUUGUGAUACACUUUCAAAGAGUCGGGUUGUUUGGGAAUGCAGCCCAAAACGGGAGGUAAAUUUCUUCUAAGGCUAAAUAUUGGCGAGAGACCGAUAGCGAACAAGUACCGUGAGGGAAAGAUGAAAAGAACUUUGAAAAGAGAGUUAAAUAGUACGUGAAAUUGUCAAAAGGGAAGCGUUUAACACCAGUGUUGUUUUCUGAAAAUCAACCCUCUGUUAGCUUUAUGCAUGUUUGUUUAGACCUAAUCAGCUAUCUUUCAUGUUCUAUUGUUUGCAGUGGUGCACUUUUCAGUUUACAGGUCAACAUCAGUUUUUUUUACCGUAAAAAAGUUAAAGAAAGGUAGCUCAUGGCUCCGGUCGUGAGUGUUAUAGUCUUUUUCCUAUGCGGUAGGAGAGACUGAGGUCUGCAGUGUAGGCUAUUUGGCUAGAUACUCAGGUGCUAUGUGAUACCAUUUCAUAAACAACUUGUUGAUUAUGUUUUGUCUAUUGCAUACUCGCUUGUACUAUCAUACCUACGCUUAGGAUGUUGACGAUCAGCUGAGCGCG
This 772-nucleotide ribosomal RNA is filed under the name uncultured Neocallimastigales. RNAcentral's name for it is "partial large subunit ribosomal RNA". The stretch from base 1 to 662 matches the Rfam family "Eukaryotic large subunit ribosomal RNA", at positions 26 to 664 of the family's 3401-position model. Lineage: Eukaryota; Fungi; Neocallimastigomycota; Neocallimastigomycetes; Neocallimastigales. The record is from RNAcentral.